CAGACUCCUACGGGAGGCAGCAGUGGGGGAAUUUUUGGGACUAAUGGGGGGCAACCCGUGAUCCAGCGACGCCGCGUGAAGGAUGAAGGUCUUCGGGAUCGUAAACUUCUUUUAGAGGGGUAUGGAAUGAGUUGGUGAAUAGCCAACUGUGACAGUACUCUUUGAAUAAGCCACGGCUAACUACGUGCCAGCAGCCGCGGUAAUAC
Molecule: ribosomal RNA, 206 nt
Filed under: uncultured bacterium
Lineage: Bacteria
Description: partial 16S ribosomal RNA
Rfam family: Bacterial small subunit ribosomal RNA
Source: RNAcentral